Molecule: ribosomal RNA, 264 nt
Filed under: uncultured archaeon
Lineage: Archaea
Description: partial 16S ribosomal RNA
Rfam family: Archaeal small subunit ribosomal RNA
Source: RNAcentral
AGUCACUGACAUUAGAUACCCCCGUAGUCCAGGGUGUAAACGCUGCAGACUUGGUGUUGGAAGCCCUUUGGGGGCAUUCAGUGCCGGAGAGAAGUUGUUAAGUCUGCUACUUGGGGAGUACGUCCGCAAGGAUGAAACUUAAAGGAAUUGGCGGGGGAGCACCGCAACGGGAGGAGCGUGCGGUUUAAUUGGAUUCAACACCGUAAACUCACCAGGGAAGACUGUUACAUGAAGGCCGAGAUGAAGACUCUGCCAGAUUUUCAG